Molecule: ribosomal RNA, 352 nt
Filed under: uncultured fungus
Lineage: Eukaryota; Fungi
Description: bacterial SSU rRNA
Rfam family: Eukaryotic small subunit ribosomal RNA
Source: RNAcentral
CGAUAACGAACGAGACCUUAACCUGCUAAAUAGCCAGGCUGUUCUCCGAACGGUCGUCGGCUUCUUAGAGGGACUAUUGGCGUUUAGCCGAUGGAAGUUUGAGGCAAUAACAGGUCUGUGAUGCCCUUAGAUGUUCUGGGCUGCACGCGCGCUACACUGAUGGUUGCAUCGAGCUUACAACCUUGAUCGGAAGGUCUGGGUAAUCUUGUGAAACUCAGUCGUGCUGGGGAUAGAGCAUUGCAAUUAUUGCUCUUCAACGAGGAAUGCCUAGUAAGCGUGAGUCAUCAGCUCGCGUUGACUACGUCCCUGCCCUUUGUACACACCGCCCGUCGCUACUACCGAUUGAAUGGCU